This 654-nucleotide small RNA is filed under the name Pongo abelii (Sumatran orangutan). Its description in RNAcentral is "retained intron". Lineage: Eukaryota; Metazoa; Chordata; Mammalia; Primates; Hominidae. The record is from RNAcentral.
GCAGUUGUCUUUGGUAGUUUUUUUGCACUAACUUCAGGAGCCAGCUCAUGAUCAGGAUGAUCAUGACCAUGAUCAGGAAGAUCAUGACCAUGAUCAGGAUGUAUGAAAAAAUAAUCUUUGUAUUACUAUUGUCAGAAAUUGUGAGCAUACCAGCAUCAAAUACCACCGGUGAGGUAAUGCACACUUCAAUCUCUUCUUCGGUCACAAAGAGUUACAUCACACCACAGACAAAUGACAAGCACAAACAGGACACAUAUCCAGCCACUCCUAGUGCUCAUGAAGUUUCAGAAAUUUCUGUUAUAACCAUUCACUCUCCAGAAGAGGAAAACGGUAUGUUCUUAGUUUUAAGUAGUUGCUCUGGAGUCAUUGUUGUGAUUGAACUCUAUUUACACGAGCUGUAACUCAUGACAGUUCUCAAACUUUCAUGACAGAAAACCCAUCUGUUUUACUCCAAAGCCCAUAUAGCACCCACAACUAUUAACUGUGACCAAGAAAGAGAAGGCAAGCCCCAAUUAACCUUUGUACGUAAAACCUAAAGAAUGAAAAAAUAUACCUGAAUCCUUAAUCAUCAAACAACAUAGGUAUAUACUAAGUAAUUUGUAAUAAUUAAACUCUAGAAAAUUGUGUGGCUUUGGUAGUAAGAGAGCUUCAUGA